Molecule: ribosomal RNA, 253 nt
Filed under: uncultured bacterium
Lineage: Bacteria
Description: partial 16S ribosomal RNA
Rfam family: Bacterial small subunit ribosomal RNA
Source: RNAcentral
UACAGAGGUCUCAAGCGUUGUUCGGAUUCAUUGGGCGUAAAGGGUGCGUAGGCGGCGCGGUAAGUCGGGUGUGAAAUCUCGGGGCUCAACCCCGAGCGGUCGUGAGAAACUGGCAGGCUAGAGUGCGGGAGAGGAGAGUGGAAUUCCUGGUGUAGCGGUGAAAUGCGCAGAUAUCAGGAAGAACACCCGUGGCGAAGGCGGCUCUCUGGAACGCAACUGACGCUGAGACGCGAAAGCGUGGGGAGCAAACAGG